This 2357-nucleotide long non-coding RNA is filed under the name Equus caballus (horse). RNAcentral's name for it is "lncRNA (ENSECAG00000049702.1)". Lineage: Eukaryota; Metazoa; Chordata; Mammalia; Perissodactyla; Equidae. The record is from RNAcentral.
CAGUGACACUGCCUACCAUCUUGAAAGAUUUAAAGCAGUGCUUGUGGGAAGUUUAGAAUGAACUGGAAAGUCACCUUCCAAAACAGAGCACUCCAGCCCCAGAGCACUCCUGUUACCCUGAGUUGAUUGACAUCAACUCCACUACACUGCACUCUGCUGAGGCAAGGGAGAGGAAAGGGGGUGACAGCAACAACGAAAGAAACUCUGACUGCAGCCCUUUGGUAUCUAUGUCGGGAGGCAGAAGCCCUGCCUGAAUCAUCAUCAGUGGAUGAAACCAUUGGACCAAAGGUUGACAGGAAAUUUCACAAAGGAGUGAUCAAGAUGGCCCUAUGUGAACCCAUCAGGCCCUACCCAGUGAAACUUGGCAUCUCUAAGAGUAAGACAACCAGACAUGUGUCUCCUGGUAUGCUGCAUGAGGGAAUACACAGCAUCCCCUAUCAGAUGUUCUUUCCAAAAAGGUUUAACCUAUACUGAAUCAAUCCUGUACAUCUAACUUCCUGUUCAUAGGAAAUACAAGGGUAGAGGAACAAAGUUAAAUGAUCCCACCAGGAAGCAAACAGUGAAAGGCAGAUCAUGGAAUGUUCUACAAUACAAAUGACCUUGUUUUUUUCAACACAUCAUUAGGAUAAAAAAGUAAGAAGAAAAAGGAGGAGAAGGAGAAGAAAAUAAAGGAGAAGAAGGAGGACCUGCUCUAUAUUAAAAGAUGCUUAAGGGACAUAAUAGCCAAAUGCAAUGUAUGGACCUUGUUUGGAUCCUGAUUACAACAAACAGGGGAGGCGGGAGGGGAUUGCGACAAUCAGGGAAACUUGCAUGUGAACUGCUCUGAAAUGAUACCAAAGAAUUAUCAAGUUAGUUUUGUUGAUUAUGAUGUUGGCAUUGGGUUAUGUAAGAAAAUGUCCACAGUUUUUAAAGAUGUGUGCUGAAGUUGUUACCACACAAAAAUGGGGUUCUCCUACUUGAGGUGCAUAAAAAAGUCCAUUGUCUACAGCAUCAGCUUUUUGAAAAAGAAAUCAGCUUUAUUCUGCAAGAUUGAUCAGCAGGGAGCCAGGGGGCAUGUGGCCUCAGCUCUGUCUCCCCAAUUCAGGAUUUGAGGUGAAAUUUAAGAGGUUGGGGAGAACAGGCUGGCACAUGGAAACGCUGGUGGGACAGGUCUUGAUUGGUGAGCUUCAAGCAUUUAUGGUUGACAGGGUUCUAAACAUUUAUGACCGGGUUCUAAACAUUUAUGAUAGGGUGGGGAAAGAAUUUUAACAGUGGAUCUUCCUGAAUGAUGGACCCCUCGCUUCUGAUCUCUGUGAGAAGUGAGAAGUCUCUGUUCUGCAAGAAAAAUAUCAUUUUGUUCAAAGAGAUUAGAAAUGCCCCUUGGAAAAUAUAGUUGUACUUCUAAUACAAUCAUCUAUGCUAAUUCCUGAGUGAAAGCAGGAGAAAAGAAAGUCACCUGUCGGUGUCAUGGACUUCUGAAGCCAGCUCUGAAUAGGCUGAGGCUGAGUUGCUGGGGGAUCCAAGGAACCAAGACUCCACCAUGGAAAAAAAGCAUCUUGAACCAAUCUUUAGUUUGAAAGACAGUGUUGACUACGCAGUCCAGUUUCGCCAGGGCCUGACUGCUUACCAACUUGGAGGUGUAGGUCUAAAUUUCUAAAAUGUGGAAGCUGGUUUCCUAGUAAAUGACAAGACAGGGCGGAAAGAGCAUCGAUCUUAAAACCUGACGAUACAAGGUUCAAAUCUCAGCUUAACACAUAUCUGUGUGAACUAGGUCAGAUUUGUUAUUCUCCGAGCCUCCAUUUCCUUAUUUAGGAAAUGAGAAUAACACCUAGCUUGCAAAGGUUGUGUGAGUUUAUACACACACACAUACACACAGAGAACAUUCUGUUCUGCUACAGUCAUGUUUUUGUAAACAUGAAUUAGCUCACAUGUGAGUGGUAAAUAGUGGAAUAGUGGCAGGAUAACAUAGAAGUCCUGAAGAACUUCACCAGUGAGCUGUUUUCCUCCAUGAGGAAGAGCAGCUGGUCACAGGGUAUAGCUACACAGCUGAAUAUGGCAACUGUGAGGAACAUAGUACUGUCCACAGUGUCUAGUCGCCGCUUACUUUUUUGGCUCAGUUCCAUCCACUGCUCUGCCGAGAAAGUGUUCAUUGCAUGGUUUCCCCAAUCUUUGGGCACGUUGCCCUUGCCACCAUAAUUCAGCAGCCUCACACUCCCCUACACCUCUUCCACCAAGGCAAAUUCACUUCUUAAUUGUUUUUAGGUAAAGCUUUCAGAUUUACUGUAGUAUUUAUUAGAAAUACAACUUUUUAAACUAAUAUUUUAUUAGGAUUGUUAUUUUUGUUGAUGCGCUGGUUAAGAAUUUGUAUGGAUUUUAAG